Long non-coding RNA from Canis lupus familiaris (dog), 2337 nucleotides. RefSeq lists it as uncharacterized. The record is from RefSeq and is a predicted model, not a curated record. Lineage: Eukaryota; Metazoa; Chordata; Mammalia; Carnivora; Canidae. The transcript has 7 exons.
ACCCCGUUCUCCGCCACCCCCAAGGCCCAGAGCGCGCGCGCACGCUGUGGCUCGCGGCGGCGGAGGGCAGCGGAGGGCAGCGGGGAGCGGGGGGCCGGGGGCGCACCUGGCUGCUGCCGCCAGAACCCCGAAGGCCGCUGCACCCCGCCCCCAAAGUUCAAGGGAGGGCCGAGCCACGGAAGCGGCCGCACCAACCAGCCGAAGGCGCCGGGCGCCGGGAGAGCCGGGCCUCGCGGCCACCUGCGUCCCGCCCCGCGCCGCCGACGGACAGGUGCCAGGUGGCACCACCAGGGUCUCUACUGUGAAGAGACGAUGAUGACAUGGCCUUGCCAGAUUGAGUUUGAAUUCAAGAACCAGGAGAACCCAAUGAUGAUAAGAAUUCUCUUCUAAGGAAGCAUUAAGCCACGUGAUUGGAGAAGUUCCUCCCGUGUUGGAAGCUUCUGGAGCAAAAGGAAUCCUGUCUCUUCCUAUAUUCUGACACUGAUAGUUUCCCAAGAACCUCAGUACUCCAGUGGGCUCAAGAAAAGUGAAUUUGCUGUUUGUCAAGACUUCUUUCACUAGCACUUUACUAGGUACUGUUGGGAAUAAAGCAGAUGCAGACCCAUCCCUUAGAGAAUAUAUAAUGAAGAAAUAAAGGAAAAUGUUUGUAUAAACAUCUACAAUAUAUGACCUAUGAGAGUGAUCACGAACUCAAAUGUCCACAGAGGCCAGGCAGAUGAUAUCAUGCAUGAAACAAGGGAAUGAUCCAUUGAUUGUGUUAAAGGAAGAUGGCCAAAGGAGUCAAAUACUAGAGGAGGGGAAUGGAAUACACAAGGGCAGUCUCUGAUUGAAGGAGGGACACUUCUGCUAUCACACUGCAGAGAGGCAUUUCUUCCCGGGUUCCCUAUCAGAGGUAAGAGGAUGCUCAGCUUCCUGCUGCUUAAGGAGGAACCGAAUCAGUCUGUUGCCUGUGAGACAGUGGUCACGGGCUGCGGAUGUCAGGUGUCCUGUGGCAUCCCGUCUCUGCUUGCACCAUUCCCUAUGCCUACAGUGCUCUUCCUUCACCUCUCCAGCCUCAAAAACUCCCACUCAUCUGCCGUGGCCAGUUUCAAACUUUACUUCUGCUAGGCCGUACUCUGACACCUGUCACAAGGUACUGUGGUUGUGGGGAAGGUAGCAGAGCUGUCAAGAAUAUUGACCCUGGAAUGAAAGCACCUGGGUUCAAGUCAGAUCUGUGACUUCCUAGCCGUGUGACUUGGGCCACUUAUUUCAUCUGUCUUUGCCUCAUUCUCAUGUGUAAUAGGGGGGAAAAUGCUAGAAUUCCCCACAUAAUAUCUGUGUGAAGAUUAAAUAAGAUGAAAAAAAAUAAAAAGAAAAAAAAUAAAAAGAUUAAAUAAGAUGACCCUGUCAAAGGUCAAAGAAUCUAGCACAAUGCCAGGCACAUAGUAAGUUCAGGGAACGUGUGGCUUAUUAUGAUUGUCAGAUGUCUGUCUCUUCCCCCUGGACUCUGCACGUCCCCCAGGACAGAUUCCUUUUUUUUAUCUGUGUACCCCUGACCCCAUGCUCAGUUUAAAGUGCUUUAUGAAUGUUUGAAGGAUGAAUGAAUGACCUGCCAAGUCUUGACAUGUUCUCUUGCUAUACAUAUACCUUCAUGGUGAGAAAUCAAAAAAAGGACCAGGAAGAUGGGGAGAAAGAGAAGAAUAAAGGAGAUACAAGAGAAGGAGGAGGAAGGAAGAGGAAGCAGAGGAGGAAGAAGAAGAAAAUAGUAAUGGACUGUCAUUGUUAAUAAUGGUUAUUUGACACUUGUGUGCCCAGAAAACAGGCAUCAAUCACAGCACCCCAGCCUGCGAUGGCCUCUCCUGCUGCUGAUGCUUUGGAGUCCAGGAAGAUGUUGGUCCUUACACUUGAUGCAAAGUUCAACAUUACAUUCGGGCUCCUGGGACAACUGAUUUGUCACUGCUCAGAGACAGUCCCAGACAGGUCCCUGAUAGAGUACCCCCAAGUAGACCCCCGAAGGUGACCUUAGGAGACAAGGACUGUACAGGGCCAACCCAGGUCAUCUGAGGAGGAAGAUAGGCAUCGUCUCAUCCCCCAAUUCUCCAGGACAGAUGUAGCCCUGCAUGAGCGGAAUAUUUCAAGGUUCCCUUGUAGCUGAGGCAUCUUGGCAAAACCUGUGUCUACUGACUCUAGAUAUACUGGCUUCUACUUCUAUUCUAGAGUCAGUGAUAAAUCCCCAAGAACUCAUUAGUGGUUCCUAGCACACAUAAAAGUACAGAAAGCCUUUGUUUUGCUGAUUAGGGAACCUACAUAAAUUUUUAACUGAUUAUUAAGAAAUAAAUGCCAACCUUUGCAGAAAAA